This 6465-nucleotide long non-coding RNA is filed under the name Coffea arabica (coffee). RNAcentral describes it as "long non-coding RNA (CARA_LNC001624)". Lineage: Eukaryota; Viridiplantae; Streptophyta; Magnoliopsida; Gentianales; Rubiaceae. The record is from RNAcentral.
AAGAUAGUAAAGCAAGUAAUCUUUGAAAUUGCUGUGGAGUACCAGGACUUCCAUCCUGAAGUAACACAUCCAUGUCUCCUAGAAACUUUGAUAGCAAUCCCAAGGAGAACUGCAUGUUAUUUACCCAGUGUUUCUGAAAUUGCAAGAAACUGUCCAUAAUCACACUCCGAUCUGAUUCUGCCAGGUCAGGCACCAUUGCCCACCCAAGGAGCAGAUCAACAAUGUCAACAAAGUGAGGCUGGAAACAUCUAGAAAAGUUUAAAGAAAUUAUAGUUAAAACAGCAAGAAGUCUGUGCAGUAAAAUCAGGGAGGUUCUCUCAUCUUCGAGAAGUUCCUGGCAUGCUUUGAGAACAGGCAAGGCAUAUCUUUCGACUGCCCCAACAUCUCCAACACUAAGAAAUUCUCGUAGAGCUUCCAAAGCCAGCUCCGCUGUCGCAUUUCCUAUAUUGAUAAGCAGUGGCAAUGCCCAACCCAUGAACCGGUCAACCAAGCCACUGAGUAUAACAUGAUUCUGCCUUCCAUUUGAUGCUAGAGGGACUGAACACAGUACAGAGCACAAAGCCCCAUAUGCUGUGGCUGCUGACUGCCGUACCAAAUAUGAUCUAAGCAACACAGUGAAAGCAAAAGAUAAAUCAACAGAAAUGAAGUAUAUUAUCCUGAUCAUUAACUGGUCAAUAUCCACUCAAAAUUUAAAGACCCUUUAUUACAAUGAAUACAAGUAAUUACAUCCUAUUAAAGUGCAAGGUAUGUGAUGCACUUGGCCCAUCAACAGAACCAACUGGAAUGUAGGUUGUAUAACAAAUUGCUAUUCUUGUGCCAUCCAAGAACAAAUGUUUGAUAGAUUGAGAUGGAAUAAACUUCAAUUUUUUUUUUUAAUGAAUUGCAUAAGCUAUUGAAACAUAACAAGACAAGUCACGUGAAUACACUCUGAUGCCAAAUCUGCAGCUAAUUUUUAAUGGAAAGUUUCAAAUCAUUAGUCACAUAUAUUUUCAACCACUGUUGACAUGAACAUGGAUUAACAAACUUAUUUCGGUGGCCCAGUGGAUCUUUUAUCUUUCCCCUCAAAUACCUAUCCUUUACAAGAAACUUGUAAUUGUGCAGAUUCUAGUUGCUGAAUUUAAUUUCAAGCAUAUCUCUCAUGAUUUUAAACCACUCCUUGAAGCAAAUCAGAAUUAGUUUGAUAAUAAAUGCAACUACAGUGGAGAUCAAUGACUACAUGCUAGACUUAACUAGCUUGGAAAUAAUCAGGGGAUGGACACUAAUUUCAGCAAAAUCAGACGCCAAAAGACACAACUGACUGGAGUUUUAGAGGAAGAGUUGGUCUUUACAAUUUUCCUUAACCAAAAAUUCUCUAUGCAGAUAAAGCUCCAAUUCCAGAGCUGUGCACCCAGUUUAAACUUCUUAACCAGACUAUCCUAGCAUAGAAUAAUGACAAAGCAAUACGAGAUGAACAUCACCACUACUACUGUCCAAAUAUUUUUUAACAACUAAACGAAAGAAAGAGCAGGAAAGAGAACUCUUGUCAGAGAAGGAAAAUUUUGCUUUACCAAACAAGCCAGUAUCUUUUGAAGCUCCUCAGGAAUUUCCUUCUCUUGGGUGUUUGCAUCAACUAGAGCAGGGUACACAAUAGACCAAGGAGAUAGUUUUGACAGCUUGACCAGUAAAGUUUCUAGCUGUCUCCUAACUACUUGUUCUGGAUGACAACUUAAUCGUGCAAAUAGUUGAGGUGUUAUCUCCUUCAAAAAAAAAUAAUUAUUAGAAAAUCAUCCACCAACAUUGGUAUGACAUCCUAAAAGCGUAACUCACCUGCCAUGGUAGCAAAGGAACAGUUGAAAGUGCAGGUUCAAGAGUAUCUUCCAACUCAACGCCAUAGUUGAGAAGAAUAUUUAAGACGUAUAAAGUUGCCCUCAUUGUGUAGCUCAUGGACUUAUGAUUUGAGUGAUGCAGGCCAGAUAGUUGACAAUCAGAGUACAUGGAAGAUGAAUACGAAAGGUAAUUGAUGAAAGCUUGAGCUGCUUGACCAAAGAGGGAUACCCUUCUUCUUCUCAAAGACCGCCAAAGAUCAGUUAUAUCAUCAAUCAAGGAUGUUACUGCUGGAUCAUCAAGGGCAAUCUUUGCACUGGCUAAGGACUUCUGCAAUUUAGAUUUUAGCAUAGCAGAAAGGGUUUCACCACUAUGAUCUUCAGCUCCAGGUGCUCCUGCUGUAGCUUCAAGAAUAUCUGUUAUUUGCUCAGACAAAGAUUUGACAUUCUCCUUCUGCCAACAUUCUGAGACAACAAAAUUUUCCAUAUUCUCAUUUAGAACUUCUAACGAUCUUUUCUGUAGGAGCUCUGAGACAAUGUCUUUCACUUUUAGCUGCUCUAUCUCGGUUAAACUUAAGCUUUGAUGAUGGAUUUCAGAAUGAAAAGCAGAUGAAACGGAAGAAGAAUGAAGGAGAGCUUCAUUAUCUGCAGAAAGAAAUGAUCUUGCCCGAGCAUAACACCAAGAGGCAUAUGAAAUCCAUGACUUCCCCAUAUUAAGGCAGAGUCGAGUAGAUAGCUCCCUUGCAGCACCCACAAAUUCCUCAGUAAUAGCAUCAAUAUUAGGUUUAGCACUCAGAGCAUCAUUUCUAAAGCUAGAAAACCCUCUGCCAGAGUCAAACGUGUCAGUAUUAAUAAAAUCUUCUCUAAACUUCAGAACGACAUCUUUCAACCUUGGAUCUGAAUAAUUUUGUUCCAACCAAUUUGACAGUUUUAAACAUGCCUUUGCCUUCAAGACAUUGUCAAAAGAAUCAGAAGAAACAAUUGCAGAAGAAAGCAUGCUAGGACGUACAAGUGACCACAUAUUGGAAAAUGCAUCAUCAAGCUUGCCUUCACUGUGCAUCAACAGGAUGUCCUCAUACUGCAAACUGGAGAUGAUAUAAUCACGAAAGUCGGUGUCAGGGCAAUUUGCUACAUUCUCCUUAAGGUAGUUGCUUAGACGAUUUGCCAACACCAAAUUUCUUUGCUUGCGAGAUAAGUUCAACAAGUUAUUACAUAGCUUGAGAGUCGCAGGUGAUGUUGGUUGAGUAUUUUGGUAAACUCGGAGUACUUUUAGCCAUAAACUGCAAUCUUGAUGAACUCGAUUAAUCGGGGACUGAACUGCUUGAAUAUAUGAUCCUAAUAAUGACUCUAAAUGAUUGUCUUGGCUGCCCCGCAUCUGGUACUUUUCCUCCAAUGCCAGUAUGCAGUAUAAAUGGUUGACAUGUGGUGCAGCAUCAGAGAGACCAUCGAGGGGAAGAACAGAUAGUGUUUCCUCCAGUAUUGACUUGGCUUUCUGCAAUUCGUGAGGUACCUUGUCCACUUUCCCCUCCUUCUGGAAAAGCAUUGCCUGCAAAAGCAUUUGCUCACUCCUUUGCAAGGCUAACUUGGGAUCAAGUGUGAGUUCAUUGCUACUUUUUGGUGUCAAAUCAAGGCAUGCCCAUGAUGCCUGAACAUCGCCCUCAUCAAAACGGGCUAAUGCUUGGACGGAGUUUAUUUCAUUUCCUGCAGUAGUUAGAGCACCAGAGUAGCUCUUUCCUGCAUGCUUUGAUCGUAGUGCUUGCAGCUCCAACAACCAGGAUUCCAAAGCUUUCCAAUCAGAAACUGCAGUAUAACUCUCAAUAAUACGAGCAAUAGCAAACUGUACUCCUUCAGAACCCAUAGAACUGAGUGAAUCAUCGGUCUGUAGCAGAUGUAUAAAAUGUGCUGCAGCCUUCUCAUGUUGGCCCUUUGCCUGAUAUACUAGUCCAGUUAUCCAUGAAAAUUGUUCUAGAAUCUCACUAUCACUUAACCUUUGAUUGUCCUCAGCAAACAAUGGAAAGAAUGCCAUGCUUGUCCACUUUUGUAGACCAAUUAAUGCCUCUGAUUCAUGAUUCUUACAGAGAGCUAAUGCCAUGUGCCGUACAACCCUCAAAAUUUCUCCAUCAAACCUACCCCUGAUACUCUGGACAACUUCACUCACCUGGACUCUUGAAUUGUCCGUGAAAGAUGAAGCAACAAAAUUCUUAAGCUCUCGUAAACGCAGUGUGCAGUAUUGGAUUGUAGCAUCAUGACACUGGAGUGCCAAUCCAGCAUUCAUCAUUGGUUCACAUAUGCGAGAAAACCACUCCUCACAGACUUUCUUAUUUGCACGGAAGAACAAAGAGCUCUGCCUAGAUGGACAGGGCAAAACUGUUGAUCCUUCAUAUGCAUUGUACACAUUUUUCUUCAGAGCCUCAACAAAAUCUAGCAACAGCCUCAUUGGCAACAAAUGAGCAUAAGAAGUGCUGGUGAUGGUCAAAUUUCCAUCACUUUGGUGAGUAUCAAGCUGUAGCAGAUGAGAAAUGUCCAGAAGCAUUCGUUCCAAUGCAGCAAAAGUUUGAGUGGGGCCACCAAGAUUGGUCCGGAGUCUCGUAGAAAUACAGCACCUUGCCGCUUCAUUUAUAGCCCACCAGGCACCUGCAAGAAUAUUGGUAGAGCAGACUCUUUCAAGAAUAUCCCUCUCCACUUUGACGUCCCUCCACAAUCCAUUUACAUCAGCGUUUACCAAUUCCUCUGACUGUAUUAAAGGAUGGUCUUUCGAGUUCCGGCAGGAACAGAUUAACCGUUGAAUCCAAGAAGACAAAGGCACUUUCCAUCUCUGAGAAAUGUAACUCAAUAUGGAAACAAGUUGCUGUGAGCGAAGUUGAUGAGGUAGUUGCUUUAUGGCAAAGACUUGCUUCCAGUACAAAUUAGGCCUGUUUUUAACUCCACAAAUAACACUGCUAGAAGAAGUAAUCAUUCUACAAUCAUACAGACCAAAAACAUAUAUAGUAAUAGGCAGAACAUUGCAAAGCAACCUACCAAAUGCAUUUUUUAUAUCUUUUUCUGGGUCCCCAAGUUUCUCAAGGACAGUCUCAGCAAUGUACAGGAAGUGAGAGGGAUGGACAAGUUUUGCUUGCAGAAGCAUGUCUAGAACCAAUUUGACAAGAGAUCUUACUCUUGGUUCUCUGUCUGAUGCAGAAUCCAAAAUGGAGAACAGCAAAUUCUGCAUGACCUCUACAUAUCCCCAGACUUCACAAGGAUAAUGUGUUGCCUCCACAUUCUCAUAUGCACAGAUUACAUUUUUACAGAAUUUAGUUAUCCAUUCUAAGGCUUCUAUUUUAACAGCUAAAGGAGCAGCAGUGUCAAGAGCUUUAACAAGGAGAUUGGAGUAAUUUCUCAAAUACUCCAAAACUAGUAUUGGAUGUUGAUUUUUAAUAUUAUCCUCCUUCAUUGGCUUUGAAAGUGCAGGUUCUCUUGUAGAGCAACUAGUCAGAAACUCAACGUCACUCAGCCUUUGCAAUGUCUGCAAUACUGCUAGUUGCAGUUCUACAUAGGCUUCAAUAGGUAAGCUAAAAGGAUCUAAUUUCUCCACCAAAAAGGAUAAUAAUCUCUUUGACCUAUUAAGAUACAACGUGUCAACUUCUGUAACAUUCAUAUAGCGACUUCCACCUGGAGAAACACACGUUAACAAGACUUUCAAAUCAAAAUGGAUUAAAGCAAACAAUUCUGAUCGUGAAUAAGAUUUUUGAGCUGUAAUUCCAUCUCCAAUGCACCCCUCACCGCAUGUCUCUUUGAGCACAAUAGUCUUCAACAAAUCCAGCUCCUCAAUCAAGGAAUUGAUUGUCCUUUCAACAACUUCUUCAUUAACAUGCUGCAGUAAGAAGAUAUAGGUAGCAGCAGCACUUCCAGUUACUAACUGAUUUGGAUGCAGACGCAAUUGAGAUAUAGGGGCAUCAAAUCCUAUUAUCUUUUCAGCAGAUGAUGGGAGAAGCCCAUGCUUUUGAAGCGACAGCAACUGUAAAUUAGUUUUAAGAACCCCAUGAACCUGAAAGGAAGUAAUAUUUACAGUCCUUGUGAGUUGGACUGUAUUCCGCAUGUCCAAGCUCUGAAACAAAAUAUCAACCGCAAUAGGGAAAAAUGUUGAAAACCUAUCGCCUAAAAUUUCUGCUAACAAAGUCAAGCACUUCCAAGAAUCCUGAAUCCAUUUUGACCAACCAUAUUUCCUUCCAAUCUGUGAUAAACAUCCUAAUAAAAGAGGAACCAUUUUGCAAAGAGGUUCAGUAAUCUGUCCCAGCAUAUUCAUUUCCAGCAAACCAGAUGCUACAGACUUCAAAACUGUAGAAAAGCAAGAUAGUAAAGCAAGUAAUCUUUGAAAUUGCUGUGGAGUACCAGGACUUCCAUCCUGAAGUAACACAUCCAUGUCUCCUAGAAACUUUGAUAGCAAUCCCAAGGAGAACUGCAUGUUAUUUACCCAGUGUUUCUGAAAUUGCAAGAAACUGUCCAUAAUCACACUCCGAUCUGAUUCUGCCAGGUCAGGCACCAUUGCCCACCCAAGGAGCAGAUCAACAAUGUCAACAAAGUGAGGCUGGAAACAUCUAGAAAAGUUUAAAGAAAUUAUAGUUAAAACAGCAAGAAGUCUGUGCAGUAAAAUCAGGGAGGUUCUCUCAUCUUCGAGAAGUUCCUG